This 403-nucleotide ribosomal RNA is filed under the name uncultured bacterium. RNAcentral's name for it is "bacterial SSU rRNA". It matches the Rfam family "Bacterial small subunit ribosomal RNA", at positions 135 to 518 of the family's 1533-position model. The record is from RNAcentral.
AGGGGGGAUAACAUCCGGAAACGGGUGCGUAAUACCGCAUAGUUUCUUGAUCGCAUGAUCGGGAAAGGAAAGACGGCCUUUGUGCUGUCGCUUAUGGAUGGACCCGCGGCGUAUUAGUUAGUUGGUGAGGUAACGGCUCACCAAGACGAUGGAUACGUAGCCGACCUGAGAGGGUGAUCGGCCACAUUGGGACUGAGACACGGCCCAAACUCCUACGGGAGGCAGCAGUAGGGAAUCUUCCGCAAUGGACGAAAGUCUGACGGAGCUAACGCCGCGUGAGGUGAAGAAAAGGUUUUCGGAUCGUAAAACUCUGUUGUCAGAGAAGAACAAGUUGGAGAGUAACUGCUCCAGCCUUGACGGUAUCUGACCAGAAAGCCACGGCUAACUACGUGCCAGCCGCUGC